GACCAUGUGGCAACAUCAGAAAGAAUUAGCAUGUUUAUGAUCUGAUGAUGAAGUAUCAAACAACUUUCAGAGGGUAGGUCGGUUAUAUACUGAUCUGAACCAACCUAAAAUGCCUAUCAAUCUAGUAUUAUGGUUGACCAAGUUGCCCACCAACCUACUUUCAGGGACAUCGAUUCUUUACCAAUCGAGGUUAGAUACAUUUUAAGAUAGUUACUCUCUAGCUGUGUUAAAAUCAGAUACAUUUUAAGACAAUUACUCUCUAGCUGUGUUACAGCUAUUCUCCACAUGGUUGAAUAACAACCCAUAAUCUCUCUACAGCUGGCCA
This 325-nucleotide long non-coding RNA is filed under the name Elaeis guineensis (African oil palm). RNAcentral describes it as "long non-coding RNA (EGUI_LNC072014)". Lineage: Eukaryota; Viridiplantae; Streptophyta; Magnoliopsida; Arecales; Arecaceae. The record is from RNAcentral.